This 346-nucleotide unclassified non-coding RNA is filed under the name soil metagenome. Its description in RNAcentral is "partial contains 5.8S ribosomal RNA, internal transcribed spacer 2, and large subunit ribosomal RNA". The stretch from base 1 to 120 matches the Rfam family "5.8S ribosomal RNA", at positions 35 to 154 of the family's 154-position model. The record is from RNAcentral.
GAUGAAGAACGUAGCAAAAUGCGAUAAGUAAUGUGAAUUGCAGAAUUCAGUGAAUCAUCGAAUCUUUGAACGCACAUUGCGCCCGCCAGUAUUCUGGCGGGCAUGCCUGUUCGAGCGUCAUUUCAACCCUCAAGCCCUCGGGUUUGGUGUUGGGGAUCGGCGAGCCUUUCUGGCAAGCCGGCCCCGAGAUCUAGUGGCGGUCUCGCUGCAGCCUCCAUUGCGUAGUAGUAAAACCCUCGCAACUGGAACGCGGCGCGGCCAAGCCGUUAAACCCCCAACUUCUGAAUGUUGACCUCGGAUCAGGUAGGAAUACCCGCUGAACUUAAGCAUAUCAAUAAGCGGAGGA